AAAUGAAUAGACGGGGACCCGCACAAGCGGUGGAGCAUGUGGUUUAAUUCGAAGCAACGCGAAGAACCUUACCAGCUCUUGACAUCAUCUGACCACCCUAGAGAUAGGGCUUUCCCUUCGGGGACAGAUAGACAGGUGGUGCAUGGUUGUCGUCAGCUCGUGUCGUGAGAUGUUGGGUUAAGUCCCAUAACGAGCGCAACCCUUAUUGUUAGUUGCCAGCAUUCAGUUGGGCACUCUAGCGAGACUGCCGGUGAUAAACCGGAGGAAGGUGGGGAUGACGUCAAAUCAUCAUGCCCCUUAUGAGCUGGGCUACACACGUGCUACAAUGGACGGUACAACGAGUUGCGACCCCGCAAGGGUGAGCGAAUCUUAAUAAGCCGUUCUCAGUUCGGAUUGUUCUCUGCAACUCGAGAGCAUGAAGCCGGAAUCGCUAGUAAUCGCGGAUCAGAAUGCCGCGGUGAAUACGUUCCCGGGUCUUGUACACACCGCCCGU
RNAcentral lists this ribosomal RNA (493 nucleotides) under uncultured bacterium. RNAcentral describes it as "bacterial SSU rRNA". It matches the Rfam family "Bacterial small subunit ribosomal RNA", at positions 903 to 1397 of the family's 1533-position model. The record is from RNAcentral.